GUUAGUACAGUUUAUCACUAUUUCAUACAGCUACAAAACCAUCCAAAACGUAAAAGUGUAUAAUGAUGCAGAAUGCGAUAUUAGCCUUGGUCGUAGCCAUGACGGUUAUUCAGUUGGCCGCUGCACAAUUUUUACAAAAUGACGAUCAAUUCAUACCGAUAAAGAUGUAAAAAACCAUCACCACUACCACAAGAAAUGGAAAACCGACAUUCUACUCACAAGAAGGACUAUCACCAAUAAGAAAAAAA
Molecule: long non-coding RNA, 248 nt
Organism: Bactrocera latifrons
Lineage: Eukaryota; Metazoa; Arthropoda; Insecta; Diptera; Tephritidae
Exons: 2
Source: RefSeq, a predicted model, not a curated record